GUGGGGAAUAUUGGACAAUGGGGGGAACCCUGAUCCAGCCAUGCCGCGUGUGUGAAGAAGGCCUUUUGGUUGUAAAGCACUUUAAGCGAGGAGGAGGCUACCGAGAUUAAUACUCUUGGAUAGUGGACGUUACUCGCAGAAUAAGCACCGGCUAACUCUGUGCCAGCAGCCGCGGUAAUACAGAGGGUGCAAGCGUUAAUCGGAUUUACUGGGCGUAAAGCGCGCGUAAGUGGCCAAUUAAGUCAAAUGUGAAAUCCCCGAGCUUAACUUGGGAAUUGCAUUCGAUACUGGUUGGCUAGAGUAUGGGAGAGGAUGGUAGAAUUCCAGGUGUAGCGGUGAAAUGCGUAGAGAUCUGGAGGAAUACCGAUGGCGAAGGCAGCCAUCUGGCCUAAUACUGACACUGAGGUGCGAAAGCAUGGGGAGCAAACAGGAUUAGAAACCCGAGUAGUCC
This 451-nucleotide ribosomal RNA is filed under the name uncultured bacterium. RNAcentral describes it as "partial 16S ribosomal RNA". It matches the Rfam family "Bacterial small subunit ribosomal RNA", at positions 354 to 796 of the family's 1533-position model. The record is from RNAcentral.